Ictalurus punctatus (channel catfish) is the source of this 658-nucleotide long non-coding RNA. Lineage: Eukaryota; Metazoa; Chordata; Actinopteri; Siluriformes; Ictaluridae. The record is from Ensembl.
CUGAACUCGUCCAGCAGACCCGGACAUGCUCAACCAUUGCAUCGGGCUGCUGUGUGCUCACUUCUUUUCGGUCAGCGGACACAGGACCGGAGUCCUGCAGAACCUCACGACUGAGGAGUUUGAGAACCUCGAGAAGGCUGACUCUUUCUGAUCAAUGUGAAGCAGCACAAACCUGCCUCUGCUUUUGGACUCGCUAAGCUAGCCGUCACCAAGCUGGAGCUGAAGUGGCUGAAAGCUUUCUGCCACCUGAGGAAGCAUAUGCCGGGAUAUGAGACUUCUGUGGGGUGGCUUUUCUUUUCUGGCACACAGGCCAGGAUUUCUGCGCAUGUCAAGCUUGCCCUGCGGGCACUCGUGGGAAGGGACAUCACUGUGUCGGACAUCCCCACAGCUCUAGCAACCUACUGCGAACGCAAAAGACGAACAACGCAUGCUCGUGACCAAGACGAUGUGCUACAGCAAUUAGCUGAGUCGUGGAGCUGUCGGUCAGCGAGGCGCACUCCGCCCAGUCUGCGCUAGAGUCCGCUGCGGGCAUAGGUGCUACAUAGGCCGGUUGUUUUUGGCUAAUGGCCCUGUGUGUGUGUGUGUGUGUGUGUGUGUGUGUGUGUGUGUGUGUGUGUGUGUGUGUGUGUAAAUAUUUCAUUAAAAUGUUUGAACUGAA